UUCUCUGUGGGGUCAGCAGAAGCACCGUGUGAGUCUCAGUAUUCUGAAAGGCACUUUGCUCUCAUACUUCAUGCAAAGAAGGUUCACUCCAUUUCUAUAACAAAUGGAGCCUUCAAGAAAUACAAGGCCUGAACUGGAGAAAUGCUGAAUUGCUAAAGGCAGUGCCACCAAGCCUGGAGACCAUGGAAGCAGAAAGUGUGGUGUUUGAACCCCCAUCUUCAGGCUGGUCAGAUAGCUCAGCCAACAAAGCAUGUGCUGCCAACCCAGAGACCCACACAGUCAAAGGAGAGAAACAAUCAUCCAAAGUUUUGUUCUGAUAUCCGCGGGUGUGCUGUGACAUACAAGACCCUUCCUACAGAAAGUAUAAUUUACAAAACUGGAACUGAGAGCUGGGUUCAUUGCUGUAACAAACCCAACCAUGUGUCUCUUAGGUCUUUAAUGUUAGUUUGCUAGAGGGAUGUGGGGAGCUUUGUAACUUUAGGUUAGAAAACCCCUUGGAUACUUUAAGUAGAGCAUGAUAGGCUGUUCUGGUAGGGCCUUGCAAGACAAAGGUGCUAUGACAAACUUGGGCAGAGAAGGCUUAGCUCAAAGGCUUCAAGGAGUCUAUCAGGAGCUGAGCUAUGUGCUGAUAAUGUGAUACAAAUGGUCUGGCUGCAUUCUUCUCAACCUCUGAGAACUUGGUUGAUGUUGAAUUUAAAGACACAAGUAUUCGAGCCAUGUAAUGGUCACUGCAUCCAGCAAGAGAAAAGAAUAGGAGAGACAUGAAGCUCGGAGAAGUGUCUGAGCGCGUUUAAAGCUCUAGGUGAGGCGAGUGUAGAUGACAAAGCAUCCGUGAUUGUAGAGAGCUCAGUGCUGUUGUUAAAGGGAGCCUGGUGUGCUGCGUGACUUCACAGUCGACUUGGACAACUAGAGCCAGCUGGCAUGAGGACCUCAACGGAAGAGCUGCCCCAUCACACUGCUCUAUGGGCAUGUCUGUGGGACAUUUCCUUCACUGUAAUUGAUGGAAAAGACGAGGCCUGCAGUGGAUGAUGAUACUGGGUCAUGUUAGAGAACGAGAUGAGCAGGAGGCAGAAAGCAAGCUAGGAGUGAGCGCCAUUCCUUCAUGGUUUCUACUGCAGACCCCUGGAGUUCCUGCCCUGACUUCCCUCAGUGAUAAACUAUGACCUGAAACUGAAGCUGAAAUAAACCCCUUCCUCUUUCAACAAAAACCAUGUAAUCAACCAAUUUAAAUUGCUCAGUGUUCACUGUGGUAGUGUCCAGCCAACUCAUAGGUGUUCAAUAAAGGCUCACUAAGUGGGUGAACCUUAAUAUUUGUUGAGGGAGGAACAGAUAUUUCUACAACUUAAUAAAAUUCACCAGUAUAACAACAUUAAUCUCAACCAGUCAAUACAGUCCAAUACGUCAUCAGGUUAAGCAGCACGACCUGCAGUUGUCACCGCUCAGAUGACAGAGGGAGUGUGAUGGACUGAGCUGAGGAGUUUGAGGACAAUCCUGUCUCAGACAUCAAAUCGUAGCAGCUCGAGGACCAACUGGACAAAAUUCAGGUUAAAUAUUUAAACAAUUAUUUUCACACUUACAGAUUUCGCUUCUGCCCAAAUGACAGCUCCGACUCCUGUUUUAUGAUCCUCUGAAAGACAGGAUAUUUAUCUCAGUAAAAAAAAAAAAUCAACAUUGUCAGUAUCAAGAUCCAUUCUUCCCAAAUCAUAGGAACAUAUUUCUUGCAACAUACAUGAUAAAUGCAGCAACAAUUCCUUGCCCUAACUACACAAAACUCUCAAGAUAAGCCUUUUCAGGUGCAGGCCACAGGAAUGAGGUACCAAAUAACCAGACAGAGCCACUGACCCCCACCACACAUGGUCUCUGUGACAACCCCUGAAUGGCAGUGGCACACUCAAGCUAUUAAUGGAACAGCUCAUCCUCACUGACUCUCCACCAACAGGACAGGACCUAAGUGACCACUUCUACAGGUGAUGAAGCUGAAGACAUACGAAAUGUCUAACAGAACUGAUUUAGUGAACUAACCAUUUGAUAAAAUCAAGUUUGUCUUUUUCUAAUGUUUUCUUUUACACUCUAAUCAUGGAAAAUUGACCUAAUGGGAAUACUUUUGUUAAAAAAAUGAGUUCAAGUAGAAAUUCUAUUUAAGGUCUUCUUUUUCCUCCUACAUUAGAGUGAGUUUUAAAUUUCUAAGACAAAUUUGAAUGAAUUAUAAAACCAUAGUAUUUAUCAAAAUCACAAAGGACAAAGUAGGGAUAUUUACAGAGAAAUCAGUAUUAUGUGUACCUUUACCCAGGGCCAUUCAUACUGCUAAGGGUUAGUACAACCAUCCUCCCCUCCAAUUUCCUUCAAGCUGAGCUCUCCUGUGAAUGCAUUUAAACAUCUACUUUUCCAUUACACACAAUUCAGACAAAAGUCCUGCAUGUUGUUGAAAAACCUAAGAUGCCUUAACUCAAAGAUUAUACUUAUGCAAUAAAAUUUUGCAUUUCAAAUUCAAGCACAGCACAUUUGGGUACUUUGUAUUUCCAAUUCGAAAUUAUAGCAUUUUUAUACGGAUCUCAUUUAUUUUUACCAAUUUUAUUAAUAGUUAAAAUUUCCAUUUCUAGAUAUGCAAUUAAGUAAAAUUUAGUUCUUUUAACCCAACCUUUUCUCUGCCUCUCUCUAACAUUAAGAUUUCCCUUAAAAAGCUUUCCCCAUUUUGUGUGCGGCAUGUGUCCAUAGUGAAAGGCAGACUGCAGAAGGAGGGAGAGACAUGGUCCGGUCCUCAAGCAUCUAGCAGCUGAAUGGGGCAUGGCAGAGAAGAGGAAGCCGUUCGAGGAGGAGGGAAAUGACACUGGA
Rattus norvegicus (Norway rat) is the source of this 2832-nucleotide non-coding RNA. Lineage: Eukaryota; Metazoa; Chordata; Mammalia; Rodentia; Muridae. The record is from RefSeq and is a predicted model, not a curated record.